GGGUUGUGAGGUUAAGCGACUAAGCGUACACGGUGGAUGCCCUGGCAGUCAGAGGCGAUGAAGGACGUGCUAAUCUGCGAUAAGCGUCGGUAAGGUGAUAUGAACCGUUAUAACCGGCGAUUUCCGAAUGGGGAAACCCAGUGUGUUUCGACACACUAUCAUUAACUGAAUCCAUAGGUUAAUGAGGCGAACCGGGGGAACUGAAACAUCUAAGUACCCCGAGGAAAAGAAAUCAACCGAGAUUCCCCCAGUAGCGGCGAGCGAACGGGGAGGAGCCCAGAGCCUGAAUCAGUGUGUGUGUUAGUGGAAGCGUCUGGAAAGGCGCGCGAUACAGGGUGACAGCCCCGUACACAAAAAUGCACAUACUGUGAGCUCGAUGAGUAGGGCGGGACACGUGGUAUCCUGUCUGAAUAUGGGGGGACCAUCCUCCAAGGCUAAAUACUCCUGACUGACCGAUAGUGAACCAGUACCGUGA
Molecule: ribosomal RNA, 475 nt
Filed under: Escherichia coli
Lineage: Bacteria; Pseudomonadati; Pseudomonadota; Gammaproteobacteria; Enterobacterales; Enterobacteriaceae
Description: partial 23S ribosomal RNA
Rfam family: Bacterial large subunit ribosomal RNA
Source: RNAcentral